RNAcentral lists this small RNA (29 nucleotides) under Bombyx mori (domestic silkworm). RNAcentral describes it as "ovarian small RNA-5004". The record is from RNAcentral. Lineage: Eukaryota; Metazoa; Arthropoda; Insecta; Lepidoptera; Bombycidae.
GAACACGAAAACACUUACCGUGCCGUGGU